UGACAAUUCAUUGAAAUACACAUAAUUUUCAUUCAGCUGAUUCAUUGAAAGGAUUUACUUACAUAAAAUACAUUAAAAAUGCCUUGCAAAGGAUGUGAAAAAGAUUGCAAAUGCACCAGCACUAAAUGCGAUGAGCGUUGUAAAUGUGCCCAGGGCAAUAAAUGCAAUUGUAUGUCGGGCCAAAAGGAUGCAGAGGCAACUGGAAAAUCCUGUUGCAGCAAACAAACUAAAAGCGAUUGAAAUUUGAGUAUUGGAGUAAAUUUUAUAAUGAUGAUUUAUAAUGUGAAGAAUGUUAUUAUUGCCACAAAAUAAAGAUUGAUUUACAAUUUUGAAAGAAAAGAA
This is a long non-coding RNA of Calliphora vicina (urban bluebottle blowfly), 342 nucleotides long. RefSeq lists it as uncharacterized. NCBI's taxonomy places the organism in Eukaryota, Metazoa, Arthropoda, Insecta, Diptera, Calliphoridae. The transcript is spliced from 2 exons. The record is from RefSeq and is a predicted model, not a curated record.